ACGGCUCAGUAACACGUAAGUCAACCUAACUCGUGGACGUGGAUAACCUCGGGAAACUGAGAAUAAACCACGAUAGAUCAUAGUGCCUGGAAUGGCUUAUGGUCCAAACAGUUUACUGCCAUGGGAUGGGACUGCGGCCUAUCAGCUUGUUGGUGAGGUAAUGGCCCACCAAGGCGAUUACAGGUACGGGCUCUGAGAGGAGUAGCCCGGAGAUGGGUACUGAGACACGGACCCAGGCCCUAUGGGGCGCAGCAGGCGAGAAACCUUAGCAAUGUGCGAAAGCACGACUGGGUCAGUCCGAGUGAUUCCUGAUAAAGGAGUCUUUUGCCUGUCCUAAAAGCACAGGUGAAUAAGGGGUGGGCAAGUCUGGUGUCAGCCGCCGCGGUAAUACCAGCACCUCGAGUGGUCAGGACGUUUAUUGGGCCUAAAGCAUCCGUAGCCGGCUCUGCAAGUCUUCGGUUAAAUCCACCUGCUCAACAGAUGGGCCGCUGGAGAUACUACAGAGCUAGGGAGUGGGAGAGGCAGACGGUAUUCAGUGGGUAAGGGUAAAAUCCUCUGAUCCAUUGAGGACCACCAGUGGCGAAGGCGGUCUGCCAGAACACGUUCGACGGUGAGGGAUGAAAGCUGGGGGAGCAAACCGGAUUAGAUACCCGGGUAGUCCCAGCUGUAAACGAUGCAAACUCGGUGAUGCAUUGGCUUAUGGCCAAUGCAGUGCCGCAGGGAAGCCGUUAAGUUUGCCGCCUGGGAAGUACGGACGCAAGUUCUGAAACUUAAAGGAAUUGGCGGGGGAGCAC
RNAcentral lists this ribosomal RNA (794 nucleotides) under uncultured crenarchaeote. RNAcentral describes it as "bacterial SSU rRNA". It matches the Rfam family "Archaeal small subunit ribosomal RNA", at positions 85 to 879 of the family's 1478-position model. Lineage: Archaea; Thermoproteati; Thermoproteota. The record is from RNAcentral.